RNAcentral lists this unclassified non-coding RNA (253 nucleotides) under uncultured Pseudobdellovibrionaceae bacterium. RNAcentral's name for it is "uncultured Bdellovibrionaceae bacterium contains 16S-23S intergenic spacer region". It matches the Rfam family "Bacterial small subunit ribosomal RNA", at positions 524 to 776 of the family's 1533-position model. The record is from RNAcentral. Lineage: Bacteria; Pseudomonadati; Bdellovibrionota; Bdellovibrionia; Bdellovibrionales; Pseudobdellovibrionaceae.
UACGAGGGGUCCAAGCGUUGUUCGGAAUUACUGGGCGUAAAGCGGGUGUAGGCGGCUUUGCAAGUCGGAUGUGAAAGCCCUGGGCUCAACCCAGGAAGUGCAUCCGAUACUGCUUAGCUUGAGUACUGGAGAGGGAAGUGGAAUUCCUGGUGUAGCGGUGAAAUGCGUAGAUAUCAGGAGGAACAUCGGUGGCGAAGGCGACUUCCUGGCCAUGUACUGACGCUCAGACCCGAAAGCGUGGGGAGCAAACAGG